Molecule: ribosomal RNA, 432 nt
Filed under: Triticum aestivum (bread wheat)
Lineage: Eukaryota; Viridiplantae; Streptophyta; Magnoliopsida; Poales; Poaceae
Description: partial small subunit ribosomal RNA
Source: RNAcentral
AUGGAUAGCUUAUUUGCUUCGUUGGAUAUAGUUUGUAGUUACAAUGAUGAGGCAUAUAUGUCAACUAUGGGUGUUGGCUCCAACAAUUCUCAUUGGUCUCAAACCAAUGAGAUGCAUUCCGAUGGUCAUGAGUUUGAGGUGGACAAGGAUGAUGAGGGCAUCGUCGACGCACCGAAAGGAAGAGGGGGCAACUACACCAUGGAUGAAGACAUCUUGCUAUGCAAUACUUAGUUGCAAGUGUCGAGGGAUUCCUCCAUUGGAGGGGAUCGAAGUAGACAUGCAUAUUGGCCCCAGAUGAAGGAACACUUUGAUGUACACAACAAAAGUAGAAUUGACCAGUCCGAAAGAUCUCUUCGCUCCCGGUGGCCGACAAUCAACCGAGAUUGUCAAAGGUGGGCGACCGCACUUAAGGCAGUUGACAAGUUGAACCCA